GACCAUAGUGGAAAGAUGAAAUCAACUGGAUUUGGUUCUUAGGUGUAAUAAUGGCAUUUUGGUUAUGUAAGAGAAUGUUCUUAUUUCUAAGAGAUGCACACAGGAAUCUUUAGGGAUGAAGGGCCAUAAUGUCUGUAAUUUACUUUCAAAUGUCCAUCAUAUUCAUACACACAUACACAGUAUAUCUGUGAGAUAAUAAGAGUGAAAAGGUAAAUAGCAUCUUAGUAGUAUUAUGAAAAAAAUAUAUAUGGAGAGAGGGAAAGGGGAGAAAAAGCAAAUAUGAGACAAAAUAUUAGCAAUUUUGAAUCUACAUGAAAGCAAUCUAGUAAAUGAUGAAUCAUUUUAGUCUUCUUCCAGCCCUUUCUGUAGGUUUGACAAUUUUCAAAAUAAAAAGAUGGGGAAAAAAUGAAAAGAAAAAAAAAACUUUAAAAAGUCUUGGUAAUCACUGAUUAGAUAUGAGAGAAAGGGAGUGACUUUCUGGUUCCUUGCCUGGCAACAGAGUAGACAGCACUGUCCUUCCCAAGAGGGAAGUGCAAGAGGAGAAAUCGAAUUGGAGGGAUGAUGAGUUCGUUAUGGAGUGUGUGGACUUUGAGGUGCUCUGGGCUCCAACAGGCAACGUGCAACCCUGAAGUUUUUGAGAGGGAAAUGUGGUAAAGAUGCAGACAUGGGUGUCUUUAGAAUCUAGAUGGUAAUGGAAGGUACUGGGGGACCCUGGAGUAUCAAGGGCAUGUGUGGAGAAUGAGAAGAGAUGAGGUGUGAGGAUGAAAUCCUGGCGGACACUGACAUUUCAGGGUCAGCAAAGAAGGAUAUUGGAGUAGACAACUUCCAAGGUGGCCCAUGACACCACCUCUUCACAGGCAGGCUUUUGUGUAGUCAGCCCCUCUCACACUGUAUCAGUGUUGGCCUGUCAGACAAGAGGGGUGGAAGUGAUGGCAUGUCACUCCUGAGAUUACAUCAUAAAAGACAUUGUGGCUUUCAUCUAGGCUUGCUACAUGCUCAUUCUUGUGGAUCCCUUGUUCUGGGGGAAGCCAUCUAUCAUGUCAUGGUAGGCUACAGGGAGUUCCAUGUGGGGAAGAACUGAAACCUCCUCCCAACAGCCAUGUGAGGAAGCUUGGAAAACCUUAGAAGAGUAUCCUUUAAAAAAAAGUUUUAAAUUAAACACAAAUAAAUACAUAAACAGUACAACUGCAAUCUCAUGAGACAUCCCAAGCGAGACAACUCAGCAACAGAUAACGAACACAGACAAACCUCAAAGGUGAGUUAGAAGGGAAUAUGUCGAGACAGGAGAACCAUGAGCCUGGGAUCUUGAGAAUAUGUCAUGGAAGACAGCCUGGAAUACGGUGGCUAAUACUACUGAAUGGCAGAGGAUUGGAAUUUUCAACAAAGAGGGCUCACAAUCUACUUAAAAAUUUCGAUAUAGUCACUCAUUUAUUCUACAAACAUUUACCAAAGUCCUUUGAUGUGUCAGCUCUAAGCACUCAAGAUGGAGUGGCAGUAGGAUCCCAACACUUAUAUCUGUCCAGAAUUGGUCAUCAGCUGGCUUGAGUUCUCCCAUUCUGCCUGUGCCUUCCCUUAGCAAGGGAAAGAACAAGAUGGAAGAGAAGGAAAAGGCUUGAUUGAACCAGCCAAUAGAUAAUUAGAAGCUGACUAUUUUGCAAUAAUGCAGCACAACAGCAAUAAAUAAAUCAAUCACUUGGGGGGUGGGGAAUGACUUCCCUAUAAUCAGCUAUUAAAGACUUGUACCACUAAUUAGUCUAUUAAUUAGAACUGUUCUCUUCCUUCCACAUGUUAUCAGCCUGCCAAGGCAGAGAAAACUCAGCCCCGGGGGCAGGAGAUAAGAGAAGUAAGACAUACAGAAGUGGCAGAUUCAAACAGCUGGGCUUGUGUGUGUUUUAAAAGCACAGUUCUUAGUGCCCCGGGCAUAUCCACCUGCUAGUAGGAAAAGAACGUUUAUCAAAAACCAAAAGGCUGUUGUCUUUGUUGAGCAGAAAGGGGAAAAAAAGAUUUAAUCUUUAAAGAGAAAAACCACUGUAACCACACUCAGGGAUCUGUGAAGGGCAGUUCCACUGGGUGUUCCCUACAGCACAGGACACAGUGAGAAAC
Molecule: long non-coding RNA, 2103 nt
Filed under: Homo sapiens (human)
Lineage: Eukaryota; Metazoa; Chordata; Mammalia; Primates; Hominidae
Description: HSALNT0297778
Source: RNAcentral